This 460-nucleotide ribosomal RNA is filed under the name uncultured bacterium. RNAcentral's name for it is "bacterial SSU rRNA". It matches the Rfam family "Bacterial small subunit ribosomal RNA", at positions 29 to 507 of the family's 1533-position model. The record is from RNAcentral.
AUUGAACGCUGGCGGCAUGCCUUACACAUGCAAGUCGAACGGCAGCACGGGAGCAAUCCUGGUGGCGAGUGGCGAACGGGUGAGUAAUAUAUCGGAACGUGCCCAGUCGUGGGGGAUAACGUAGCGAAAGCUACGCUAAUACCGCAUACGAUCUACGGAUGAAAGCGGGGGAUCGCAAGACCUCGCGCGAUUGGAGCGGCCGAUAUCAGAUUAGCUAGUUGGUGGGGUAAAAGCUCACCAAGGCGACGAUCUGUAGCUGGUCUGAGAGGACGACCAGCCACACUGGAACUGAGACACGGCCCAGACUCCUACGGGAGGCAGCAGUAGGGAAUUUUCCGCAAUGGGGGAAACCCUGACGGAGCAACGCCGCGUGAGGGAAGAAGGGCCUUCGGGUCGUAAACCUUUGUCAUCGAGGACGAUAAUGACGGUACUCGAGGAGGAAGCCCCGGCUAACUACGUG